GAGUUUGAUCCUGGUUCAGGAUGAACGCUAGCGACAGGCUUAACACAUGCAAGUCGAGGGGUAACAGGGUAGCAAUACCGCUGACGACCGGCGCACGGGUGAGUAACGCGUAUGCAGCCUGCCUAUAACUGGGGAAUAGCUCCCUGAAAGGGGAAUUAACACCGCAUAACACUAUUGAUUCGCAUGGAUUGGUAGUUAAAUGUAGCGAUACAGGUUAUAGAUGGGCAUGCGUGACAUUAGCUAGUUGGUGAGGUAACGGCUCACCAAGGCUACGAUGUCUAGGGGUUCUGAGAGGAAGGUCCCCCACACUGGUACUGAGACACGGACCAGACUCCUACGGGAGGCAGCAGUGAGGAAUAUUGGUCAAUGGGCGCAAGCCUGAACCAGCCAUGUCGCGUGCAGGAAGACUGCCCUAUGGGUUGUAAACUGCUUUUAUAGUAGAAGAAACACAUCUACGUGUAGAUGUCUGCCAGUAUACUAUGAAUAAGCAUCGGCUAACUCCGUGCCAGCAGCCGCGGUAAUACGGAGGAUGCAAGCGUUAUCCGGAUUUAUUGGGUUUAAAGGGUGCGUAGGCGGGACUGUAAGUCAGGGGUGAAAUACUGCAGCUUAACUGUAGCAUUGCCUUUGAAACUGCCGUUCUUGAGUACAGUUGAGGUAGGCGGAAUGUGGUGUGUAGCGGUGAAAUGCAUAGAUAUACCACAGAACGCCGAUUGCGAAGGCAGCUUACUAAGCUGUUACUGACGCUGAGGCACGAAAGCGUGGGGAUCAAACAGGAUUAGAUACCCUGGUAGUCCACGCUGUAAACGAUGA
This 810-nucleotide ribosomal RNA is filed under the name uncultured bacterium. RNAcentral's name for it is "bacterial SSU rRNA". It matches the Rfam family "Bacterial small subunit ribosomal RNA", at positions 9 to 812 of the family's 1533-position model. The record is from RNAcentral.